CAGACUUGUUCCAUAAGGUCUACGGAGAUUUUCUGAGGCUGGAGGCUGACUGACAGCAGAGAAUCACUGGAGCAGAUGCCUGGAUUCAAUGUGAACUUUUUUUAAGCCUUUGUUUGAGGGAGCUGCCAGGAGCACAGCUACAGCCAAAUAAUUCUUUGCAAUGUCAUCAUUACCAGCAACAGUUACAUUUUAAAAAGCAUGAAAACAAGAGCCAGUGGUUGACAGCCCCCUAAACUUCUGCCAGAGCUGCUCUUUGCUGACAGUGUCCACACUGGGUAGCCCAAGGCAGUGUACAG
Molecule: long non-coding RNA, 296 nt
Organism: Myiozetetes cayanensis
Lineage: Eukaryota; Metazoa; Chordata; Aves; Passeriformes; Tyrannidae
Exons: 3
Source: RefSeq, a predicted model, not a curated record